RNAcentral lists this ribosomal RNA (758 nucleotides) under Vibrio parahaemolyticus. RNAcentral's name for it is "partial 23S ribosomal RNA". It matches the Rfam family "Bacterial large subunit ribosomal RNA", at positions 87 to 899 of the family's 2925-position model. The record is from RNAcentral. Lineage: Bacteria; Pseudomonadati; Pseudomonadota; Gammaproteobacteria; Vibrionales; Vibrionaceae.
AGUAACAACCAUUUGAGUCUGGGAUUUCUGAAUGGGGAAACCCACUAGCAUAAGCUAGUAUCGUUGCGUGAAUACAUAGCGCAGCGAGGCGAACCGGGGGAACUGAAACAUCUAAGUACCCCGAGGAAAAGAAAUCAACCGAGAUUCCGAAAGUAGCGGCGAGCGAAAUUGGACUAGCCCUUAAGCUUUACACGCGUUAGACGAACGGUCUGGAAAGUCCGACGAUACAGGGUGAUAGUCCCGUAGUUGACGACGUGUGUUCAGUGAAAUCGAGUAGGGCGGGACACGUGAUAUCCUGUCUGAAUAUGGGGGGACCAUCCUCCAAGGCUAAAUACUACUGACUGACCGAUAGUGAACCAGUACCGUGAGGGAAAGGCGAAAAGAACCCCUGUGAGGGGAGUGAAAUAGAACCUGAAACCGUGUACGUACAAGCAGUAGGAGCAGGCUUUGUCCUGUGACUGCGUACCUUUUGUAUAAUGGGUCAGCGACUUAUAUUCAGUGGCAAGGUUAACCAUCUAGGGGAGCCGUAGGGAAACCGAGUCUUAACUGGGCGUUCAGUCUCUGGAUAUAGACCCGAAACCAGGUGAUCUAGCCAUGGGCAGGUUGAAGGUUGAGUAACAUCAACUGGAGGACCGAACCGACUAAUGUUGAAAAAUUAGCGGAUGACUUGUGGCUAGGGGUGAAAGGCCAAUCAAACCUGGAGAUAGCUGGUUCUCCCCGAAAGCUAUUUAGGUAGCGCCUCGGACGAAUACUACUGG